UUUCAUCUAUGCCGUGAGAUCUGAAACUAAUUAAUCUUUUCUUCACCACAAACCUAUUAUAACUCUUUUGUGAAUUCUGGCAUGUUUAUCCCAAAACAUUCAUCUUUCUCAACAAUUGUUAAGAAACACAACAAAUUCAGAGGUAAAUUAUAAGCUUCAAUUUAAUGGAGAAUGAGUUGUGCUGGUUUCGACAUGUUAAUAAGGAACAAGAUGUUGUAAGGAGAAUGGGUUAUAGUAUUUCUUGUUAUAGUUGUUAUUGGAGAAGGGAUUGAACAGAGUUGUUGUGACGUGUGUGUAUAUGUAUAUCACAUCCUCAAUUUGUUCAAUUUUCCUUUUUUAAUUAAUACAAUGAAAGAAAAAGGAAGAUGAAAGAUAAAGAGGCCAGGACCCACCAAAAUGGUUUGCCAGGUCAUUCUUGUGUUUCGUCU
RNAcentral lists this long non-coding RNA (428 nucleotides) under Trifolium pratense (red clover). RNAcentral's name for it is "long non-coding RNA (TPRA_LNC006669)". Lineage: Eukaryota; Viridiplantae; Streptophyta; Magnoliopsida; Fabales; Fabaceae. The record is from RNAcentral.